GAUGAACGCUAGCGACAGGCCUAACACAUGCAAGUCGAGGGGUAACAUUAUUAAGGCUUGCUUUAAUAGAUGACGACCGGCGCACGGGUGCGUAACGCGUAUGCAACCUACCCAUUACAGGAGGAUAGCCCAGAGAAAUUUGGAUUAAUACUCCAUAGUAUUUACUGAAAGCAUUUUUAGUAUUUUAAAAGAUUCGUCUGGUAAUGGAUGGGCAUGCGUAUGAUUAGUUAGUUGGUAGGGUAACGGCCUACCAAGACGACGAUCAUUAGGGGUUCUGAGAGGAUAGUCCCCCACACUGGUACUGAGACACGGACCAGACUCCUACGGGAGGCAGCAGUGAGGAAUAUUGGUCAAUGGGCGAGAGCCUGAACCAGCCAAGUCGCGUGCAGGACGACUGCCCUAUGGGUUGUAAACUGCUUUUAUAUAGGAAUAAUUGUUUUUACGUGUAAGAAUUUGAAUGUACUAUAUGAAUAAGCACCGGCUAACUCCGUGCCAGCAGCCGCGGUAAUACGGAGGGUGCAAGCGUUAUCCGGAUUUAUUGGGUUUAAAGGGUGCGUAGGCGGGUUCAUAAGUCAGUGGUGAAAGUCUGUCGCUUAACGAUAGAAUUGCCAUUGAAACUGUGGAUCUUGAAUACAGUAGAGGUAGGCGGAAUAUAUUGUGUAGCGGUGAAAUGCAUAGAUACGAUAUAGAACACCUAUUGCGAAGGCAGCUUACUAUGCUGUAAUUGACGCUGAUGCACGAAAGCGUGGGGAGCGAACAGG
Molecule: ribosomal RNA, 761 nt
Filed under: uncultured bacterium
Lineage: Bacteria
Description: bacterial SSU rRNA
Rfam family: Bacterial small subunit ribosomal RNA
Source: RNAcentral